GAUAAACGCUGGCGGCGCACAUAAGACAUGCAAGUCGAACGAACUUAAUCGAUUCUUUUAGAUUCGAAGCGGUUAGUGGCGGACUGGUGAGUAACACGUAAGCAACCUACCUGUUAGAGGGGAAUAACAGUGAGAAAUCACUGCUAAAACCGCAUAUGCCGUGAACAUCGCAUGAUGAAAACGGGAAAAGAGCAAUCUGCUAAUAGAUGGGCUUGCGUCUGAUUAGCUAGUUGGUGUGGUAAAGGCAUACCAAGGCAACGAUCAGUAGCCGGACUGAGAGGUUGAACGGCCACAUUGGGACUGAGAUACGGCCCAGACUCCUACGGGAGGCAGCAGUCGGGAAUAUUGCGCAAUGGAGGAAACUCUGACGCAGUGACGCCGCGUAUGGGAAGAAGGUUUUCGAAUUGUAAACCAUUUUAGACAAGGAAGAAACAAGACAGUACUUGUAGAAUAAGCUCCGGCUAACUACGUGCCAGCAGCCGCGGCAAUACGUAGGGAGCAAGCGUUAUCCGGAUUUAUUGGGUGUAAAGGGUGCGUAGACGGGAAGGUAAGUUAGUUGUGAAAUCCCUCGGCUCAACUGAGGAACUGCGACUAAAACUGCUUUUCUUGAGUGCUGGAGAGGAAAGUGGAAUUCCUAGUGUAGCGGUGAAAUGCGUAGAUAUUAGGAGGAACACCAGUGGCGAAGGCGACUUUCUGGACAGCAACUGACGUUGAGGCACGAAAGUGUGGGGAGCAAACAAGAUUCCUACCCUGGUAGUCCACACCGUAAACGA
Molecule: ribosomal RNA, 773 nt
Filed under: uncultured bacterium
Lineage: Bacteria
Description: bacterial SSU rRNA
Rfam family: Bacterial small subunit ribosomal RNA
Source: RNAcentral